RNAcentral lists this ribosomal RNA (270 nucleotides) under uncultured archaeon. Its description in RNAcentral is "partial 16S ribosomal RNA". It matches the Rfam family "Archaeal small subunit ribosomal RNA", at positions 477 to 747 of the family's 1478-position model. The record is from RNAcentral.
CAGCACCUCAAGUGGUCAGGAUGAUUAUUGGGCCUAAGGCAUCCGUAGCCGGCUCUGUAAGUUUUCGGUUAAAUCUGUAUGCUCAACAUACAGGCUGCCGGGAAUACUGCAGAGCUAGGGAGUGGGAGAGGUAGACGGUACUCGGUAGGAAGGGGUAAAAUCCUUUGAUCUAUUGAUGACCACCUGUGGCGAAGGCGGUCUACCAGAACACGUCCGACGGUGAGGGAUGAAAGCUGGGGGAGCAAACCGGAUUAGAUACCCGCGUAGUCC